GGGUGAAUGUCCAGGUAGGGGGGGAACAGUUUCUGCCCUGCAUACUCAUGUGACCCUUCCUUCCUUCUACUUCACAUGCUGUUGUUUCCUUUCCUUACUGUCUGCCCAGUGCAUGCUUUCUAGAUAGAAGGCCCUCAUGAUUGUGGAAACAACGGACCCUAGUAUUGCCUAGAUUCUGUCCACCUCUCCUUCCUCUCACUGCUCUGCUUCCUGCUGACUAGCCUGUUCUGCCCAGAGGAACUGGCUGCCCUGGCAGAUGAGGACCUGCUUGACUUCCUCAUGAAGGAUGAUGCUCCCUGCCUUGAAAUCCCAGGGGAGGAGAACGGUCUGCUGAAAGACUGGGGCCUGCCAGAGCCUGAGCUCCUGAACAAGGAGAUGGGUGACUUCAUCAGUACCUUACUGAGCCCCUUUGAAGAUGAACCAGGCAUGCUGCAGGGUUAUUCGCCUGCUGACAGCGACAGCAGCAUUUCUGAGGAUCAGAAUCUGUUCCAUAGCCCUGGCAGUGACUUCACCAGAAACUUUUGCCAGUGAGUCUGACUUCCCAGAGCUGAUCCUGACAGAGUAGAAAAGGCAGCUCCCAGAGAAAGAAGGUGUUUCAUUACCAACCUGUCUGCCACUGACCAAAGUGAGUCCUCGCUACAGCCUGUCACACCUAAACAGACUUGGACCACUCAAACCUUUCAGCUAGAGUAGGGGUUGAAAAUGUAGGAUGGUGUCUUGGUGAGAGCAUUAGUACCCAGGUGCUGCGUUCAGGGCAGCAGCUGUGCUGUGCUGCUGCUGGGGUCUUGCCACCCUGGGCAGAAAGUGAGGCUGACCCCGUGGUCUUUUCAAGAGGCUCAGAAGCUCAGGGCAU
Molecule: long non-coding RNA, 853 nt
Filed under: Calidris pygmaea (Spoon-billed sandpiper)
Lineage: Eukaryota; Metazoa; Chordata; Aves; Charadriiformes; Scolopacidae
Description: lncRNA (ENSCPGG00000012983.1)
Source: RNAcentral